CUUUUGUAUAAUGGGUCAGCGACUUAUAUUCUGUAGCAAGGUUAACCGUAUAGGGGAGCCGAAGGGAAACCGAGUCUUAACUGGGCGUUAAGUUGCAGGGUAUAGACCCGAAACCCGGUGAUCUAGCCAUGGGCAGGUUGAAGGUUGGGUAACACUAACUGGAGGACCGAACCGACUAAUGUUGAAAAAUUAGCGGAUGACUUGUGGCUGGGGGUGAAAGGCCAAUCAAACCGGGAGAUAGCUGGUUCUCCCCGAAAGCUAUUUAGGUAGCGCCUCGUGAACUCAUCUUCGGGGGUAGAGCACUGUUUCGGCUAGGGGGUCAUCCCGACUUACCAACCCGAUGCAAACUGCGAAUACCGAAGAAUGUUAUCACGGGAGACACACGGCGGGUGCUAACGUCCGUCGUGAAGAGGGAAACAACCCAGACCGCCAGCUAAGGUCCCAAAGUCACAGUUAAGUGGGAAACGAUGUGGGAAGGCUCAGACAGCCAGGAUGUUGGCUUAGAAGCAGCCAUCAUUUAAAGAAAGCGUAAUAGCUCACUGGUCGAGUCGGCCUGCGCGGAAGAUGUAACGGGGCUAAACUGUGCACCGAAGCUGCGGCAGCGACGCUUAUGCGUUGUUGGGUAGGGGAGCGUUCUGUAAGCCUGCGAAGGUGUCCUGUGAGGGAUGCUGGAGGUAUCAGAAGUGCGAAUGCUGACAUAAGUAACGAUAAUGCGGGUGAAAAGCCCGCUCGCCGGAAGACCAAGGGUUCCUGUCCAACGUUAAUCGGGGCAGGGUGAGUCGACCCCUAAGGCGAGGCCGAAAGGCGUAGUCGAUGGGAAACGGGUUAAUAUUCCCGUACUUGGUGUUACUGCGAAGGGGGGACGGAGAAGGCUAUGUUGGCCGGGCGACGGUUGUCCCGGUUUAAGCGUGUAGGCUGGUUUUCCAGGCAAAUCCGGAAAAUCAAGGCUGAGGCGUGAUGACGAGGCACUACGGUGCUGAAGCAACAAAUGCCCUGCUUCCAGGAAAAGCCUCUAAGCAUCAGGUAACAUCAAAUCGUACCCCAAACCGACACAGGUGGUCAGGUAGAGAAUACCAAGGCGCUUGAGAGAACUCGGGUGAAGGAACUAGGCAAAAUGGUGCCGUAACUUCGGGAGAAGGCACGCUGACACGUAGGUGAAGUGAUUUACUCA
Molecule: ribosomal RNA, 1171 nt
Filed under: Salmonella enterica subsp. enterica serovar Kentucky
Lineage: Bacteria; Pseudomonadati; Pseudomonadota; Gammaproteobacteria; Enterobacterales; Enterobacteriaceae
Description: partial 23S ribosomal RNA
Rfam family: Bacterial large subunit ribosomal RNA
Source: RNAcentral